Molecule: long non-coding RNA, 256 nt
Filed under: Homo sapiens (human)
Lineage: Eukaryota; Metazoa; Chordata; Mammalia; Primates; Hominidae
Description: BI-RAB11FIP1.2
Source: RNAcentral
AUGCCCACCCAAUUCACUGUGCUUUCUACUUCUCCCGCUGGAAAGCCUUGCUCUGGAGGAAGGCAGCUGCAGAGGAAGAUCCACAGAACCCCAAUCUUGGAUGGCUACUCGUGUCCCUCCAAUCUCCAGGCUCUCCUCCCUCUGGUUCACACUGCACAUUGCUUCACUAACCUGCUGGCUGCCUCACCAGCAACCGCGUUACCUUCGGACUGAACAGAGAUUUCAAGGUACUCCAUUUUGACCCCACCCUACCUCA